RNAcentral lists this ribosomal RNA (451 nucleotides) under uncultured Azospira sp. Its description in RNAcentral is "bacterial SSU rRNA". It matches the Rfam family "Bacterial small subunit ribosomal RNA", at positions 931 to 1382 of the family's 1533-position model. The record is from RNAcentral. Lineage: Bacteria; Pseudomonadati; Pseudomonadota; Betaproteobacteria; Rhodocyclales; Rhodocyclaceae.
GGUGGAUGAUGUGGAUUAAUUCGAUGCAACGCGAAAACCUUACCUACCCUUGACAUGCCAGGAACUUGCCAGAGAUGGCUUGGUGCCCGAAAGGGAGCCUGGACACAGGUGCUGCAUGGCUGUCGUCAGCUCGUGUCGUGAGAUGUUGGGUUAAGUCCCGCAACGAGCGCAACCCUUGUCAUUAGUUGCCAUCAUUCAGUUGGGCACUCUAAUGAGACUGCCGGUGACAAACCGGAGGAAGGUGGGGAUGACGUCAAGUCCUCAUGGCCCUUAUGGGUAGGGCUUCACACGUCAUACAAUGGUCGGUACAGAGGGUUGCCAAGCCGCGAGGUGGAGCUAAUCUCACAAAACCGAUCGUAGUCCGGAUCGCAGUCUGCAACUCGACUGCGUGAAGUCGGAAUCGCUAGUAAUCGUGAAUCAGAAUGUCACGGUGAAUACGUUCCCGGGCCUU